AUACGUAGGUGGCAAGCGUUGUCCGGAUUUAUUGGGCGUAAAGGAUGCGUAGGUGGAUAUUUAAGUGGGAUGUGAAAUACCCGGGCUCAACUUGGGUGCUGCAUUCCAAACUGGAUAUCUAGAGUGCAGGAGAGGAAAGUGGAAUUCCUAGUGUAGCGGUGAAAUGCGUAGAUAUUAGGAGGAACACCAGUGGCGAAGGCGACUUUCUGGACUGUAACUGACGCUGAGGCACGAAAGCGUGGGGAGCGAGCAGGAUUAGAUACCCUGGUAGUCCACGCUGUAAACGAUGAAUGCUAGGUGUGGGGUGUCAAAGCUCCGUGCCGCAGUUAACACAAUAAGCAUUCCGCCUGGGGAGUACGGCCGCAAGGUUGA
This 372-nucleotide ribosomal RNA is filed under the name uncultured bacterium. RNAcentral describes it as "bacterial SSU rRNA". It matches the Rfam family "Bacterial small subunit ribosomal RNA", at positions 523 to 897 of the family's 1533-position model. The record is from RNAcentral.